GACGAACGCUGGCGGCGUGCUUAACACAUGCAAGUCGAACGGAAAGGCCCUGCUUUUGUGGGGUGCUCGAGUGGCGAACGGGUGAGUAACACGUGAGUAACCUGCCCUUGACUUUGGGAUAACUUCAGGAAACUGGGGCUAAUACCGGAUAGGAGCUCCUGCUGCAUGCUGGGGGUUGGAAAGUUUCGGCGGGUGGGGAUGGACUCGCGGCUUAUCAGCUUGUUGGUGGGGUAGUGGCUUACCAAGGCUUUGACGGGUAGCCGGCCUGAGAGGGUGACCGGACACAUUGGGACUGAGAUACGGCCCAGACUCCUACGGGAGGCAGCAGUGGGGAAUAUUGCACAAUGGGCGGAAGCCUGAUGCAGCAACGCCGCGUGCGGGAUGACGGCCUUCGGGUUGUAAACCGCUUUCGCCUGUGACGAAGCGUGAGUGACGGUAAUGGGUAAAGAAGCACCGGCUAACUACGUG
RNAcentral lists this ribosomal RNA (468 nucleotides) under uncultured bacterium. RNAcentral's name for it is "partial 16S ribosomal RNA". It matches the Rfam family "Bacterial small subunit ribosomal RNA", at positions 28 to 507 of the family's 1533-position model. The record is from RNAcentral.